This 2792-nucleotide long non-coding RNA is filed under the name Homo sapiens (human). RNAcentral's name for it is "HSALNT0229170". The record is from RNAcentral. Lineage: Eukaryota; Metazoa; Chordata; Mammalia; Primates; Hominidae.
UCCUGCAUGGGAUGCCAGACUCCACCAGCACUGCCUCCGCCCCUCUGCCUCUGGUUAUCUCCACAGGAAACCAUGAGUCUUUGAUGAUCUCAUCUUUGCCAUCUCCUUCAGGUCUGAAAUGGUUGGUUUCUACCAUCUAUGGCAUGAGUUAAAUCACUGACGUAGAAGAACAACCUGGCCCAGUCUUUCUCAGAAUUGCUGUGCCCUCGUGGUCACCAAAACUGAGUCAGGAGUGAGUCAUACUUAUUUCCAGGUACUGGUGAAAUCUUGUGGGGGCAACUGUCAUCACAGCCUCUUAACAGCUCAGCAAGGUGCAAACUUACUUACGCAAGCCUCUGGCACUCUAGAAAGUAAAAUGCACAAGAAAGGAUAGAAACACUUGUUUUUUUUACUACCUGGAAUUCAGAAAAACAGCCGUGUUUUUCUAGACUCUUGACUUUCCAAUGGAGGCACAUUUAUAACUCAUUACUUUUCACAAUACUCUACAUUGAAAAUACAUCUACUGAUCAGGACUCUAUGAUAACCUGGGGUUAAAAAUCCAACGUAAGUUGACUGUAGCAAGAAACAUAAGGUAGCAUUCAGUUCAUUUAAGUGAAAAGUCUAGUUUAGUUGUUACAGGAAUGGCUUGACCCUGGAACUCAAAAAAACAUUGUUAGAAUUCUUCCUUCUUAUUUGUAAAUUUCUACUCUUCUGUGUUGGCAUCAGUCUCAGACACCCUUUCUCCAAGGUGACAUGGCAUCUUCCAGCUGCUCUAGGCUUAGAGCUUUUCAGCACAAAAGUAUCAGUAGAAAAAUAAAUGUCUCUGUGCUAAUUGUUCUAGCAAAAGUUUCAGUUCUAACUCUGAUUGGCCAUAAGUGUGGUCAUGAACUAUAUCAAUUAUCUACUGCCACAGAAAGAGUGAGCAACAAAGCCUCAGUGGUAUAUAAAAAUAAAUGUGUUCCUCAUGCAGCUGGGGUCAUUGGGGGCCCACUGGUGGCUUUGCUGAUCUUGGAUGGUCUUGCUCACAUACCUGGGAGUUGGUUGGCUACCGGUUGAGGAGACUGGAGUGAGUUGGCUCUGCUCCACACGUUUUUCCUUCUCCAGCAGGCAUGUUCCCAUGGUGAAUGCAUAACUGUAACAGAUCCAUUGCCAGAUGUGUUCUGCAAGUCAACACCCCAAGACACCAGGUUGCAGCAGAGAAAGAGGUUUAAUCGUAGGCUACCAAACAACAAGAUAGGAGGAAACCUCAAGUCCAUUUCUGAGGGAUUUGGGAAAGAAGACUCUCAUUGUCUGAAGGAAAAAAAAACAACAUGCCAGGCUUACUGACAGAAGCUUUUACAGGAAACAAAACCCACGACAACUUCUCUCGUCAAGGGCUCUUCAGACUGUUUCUAAACACUCACAGGAAGGCCAGGCUGACAUUUUACACAUGAUUGACUGAGAGCGCUAUGCUUGCUUCUGGAUAUGUGCGUGCUUGUAUACGUGUGCAACUGUGUGUGUGCACGCAUAUGCCUGCAUGCAAGCCUACGGGUGCUUACCUGGUCCUGUAGCUCAGCCUAAACAAAGAUUCAGACUUGCUUAUGCAUAAAUAAUGAGUUGGCGGGGCCAGAAGCUGCCUAGGGUCUAUUUAUAUAGAUUGAUUUGCAUGUGCCAAGGGGAAUUGGGAAGAUACAGUGGAGAAGACAGCCUGGUGAUUGGUUCAGGGGCCAGGAUAGCAGCUGAACCCAUGCAAUCCUCCCUGAGACUUUAGUGAGUCUGCAAGGAAUGAGCCCUCUCUGUUUGCAAGACCUCCAAGGCCAGCAGGAUAAAAGCUUGGCAACCGUGAAGUGAGAGUCAUCCUUAGAAUGAAGCCAGCACAGAGGAGAGCAGAAGAAGGAUGGAGAGAGAGACUAGUCCUAAUGUCCUUGUGUGGUGGCUUGGCUAGCACCUGCUGUGCCUAUCUUCCCACUGGGAGCCUUAGUCUCAUGCCCAGUUGAUCCCUCCCCUGGUGUCAACUAAGCUUGAGUUGGAUUAUCUGCUACUUGCUGAUGCUCCACUCACAGUCUCCCUGCAUUAUCCCAGCACCUGAGACAUUUCUGAUUAGAUUGGCAUCCAUGGGGGUGUGAAAGUCACAUUCUCAGAGAAAGAAAGUGAUGAACCACCUGUACUGCAGAACCCACCAGUAACAACCCCACCCUACACCCUAGUCCAGGUUCCUCAGCUGUCUGUCAAAUCCAGGAGCCAGGACACCAGGUGGAGUCCUGCAACCUUUUGCAAUCUCUGUGUCAGAGGUAUUAGAACAAGAAUGACUCCAUCUUGAAAACAGGCUGGGUAGAAUGAGGCUUAGACUUACUGGGCUGCAUUCCCAAGAGGUUAAGGCAUUCCUAGUCACAGAAUGAGAUAGACGGUUGGCACAAGAUACAGAUCAUAAAGACCUUACUGAUAAAACAGGUUGCAGUUAAGAAGCCGGCCAAAACCCAUCAAAACCAAGAUGGUGACAAGAGUGACCUCUGGUCAUCCUCACAGCUCAUUAUAAGCUAGUUACAAUAUAUUAGCAUGCUAAAAGACACUCCCACCAGUGCUGUGACAGUUUACAGAUGCCAUGGCAACAUCAGGAAAUUACCCUAUAUGGUCUAAAAAGGCUAAGAACCCUCAGUUCUGGGAGUUGUCCACUCCUUACUGUGAAAACUCAUGAAGAAUCAACCUCUUGUUUAGCAUAUAAUCAAGAAAUAACCAUAAAAAUGGGCAACCAGAAGCUCUUGAGAAUGCUCUGCCUAGGGAGUAGCCAUUCUUUUAUUCCUUUACUGUCUUAAUAAACUUGCUUUCACUGUAUG